UAUUUACUGCAAUGGUGAAAUGCGAAACCAACUGCCUGUGAAGUACAGAGUCUAAUGAAAACUGCACAUCAAUGGCGUCUGCGUUCGUGCUGGUGACGUCCAUCCGCCGAUGACCAAGAAGACAACCGCUGGUUGCCUGGCUUCAUAGAGGAGUGUUUCUGUCUCCCUGGUGGAUGAGAGAAUGCAUUGCAGUCUGAUGGAUCAACAACAGAUGUGAUGUCACAAGGAUAAUGGCUACCAAGGAUCAUGGAAGGAGGACGAGGGUGUCUUAUGGUCUGAGGAUGCAAGUUUCAAGUACGGAGUCCAAUGAAAACUGCACAUCAAUGGCGUCUGCGUUCGUGCUGGUGAUGUCCAUCCGCCGAUGACCAAGAAGACAACCGCUGGUUGCCUGGCUUCAUAGAGGAGUGUUCCUGUGUGGAUGAGAGAAUGCAUUGCAGUCCAAUGGAUCAACAACAGAUGUAAUAAUGAUGGCGCUCCCUUAGAGGUCAUCCGCUAGAUGGCGUCUAUACAAGAAUGCUACCAAUGGCCAUUGAUGUAACAUUCUAAGAUUGGCUGAAGGACACAGCACACAACCAGAAACAACUGAGCUUAAGAUGCUGAUGCUGGACGGGGCGUUGAAGGCGGCCAUCAGAGGUUCCCAAGAUGGCGUCAGUUAAAGACAACCUGUCGCUCAACUACUACUUACAUACAGGUUAUUGUGAUGACUACUUUUCUCCCAUCCUGUCAACAUGGACCAUGAAGAUGUGACAUCACAAA
Molecule: long non-coding RNA, 756 nt
Organism: Asterias rubens (European starfish)
Lineage: Eukaryota; Metazoa; Echinodermata; Asteroidea; Forcipulatida; Asteriidae
Exons: 4
Source: RefSeq, a predicted model, not a curated record